Sapajus apella (tufted capuchin) is the source of this 2552-nucleotide long non-coding RNA. RefSeq lists it as uncharacterized. NCBI's taxonomy places the organism in Eukaryota, Metazoa, Chordata, Mammalia, Primates, Cebidae. The transcript is spliced from 2 exons. The record is from RefSeq and is a predicted model, not a curated record.
CUCCUGACUUCAUGAUCCGCCCACCUUGGACUCCCAAAUUUAUAGGAUUACAGGCAUGAGCCACCGCACCUGGCCAUCAUAGGUCUUUUAUUGCAUCAUUUAUAUAUCACAAAUAAGUCUUAGGAAUCAUCCAGCAUCUUGUUUCUGUGGCUAGAUAAAUCUUAGAUCUUAUUCAUCAUCCUCCUGAACUGUUCCUUUUUCAGAGACAUAGAUACCAUCCAAAAGUUUUCUGAUAUCCUUGUUUUUAACUGUUGUGGCUUGCUGAAUCAAAGCAGCUGAAUUUGAAAUAAGCUCAGUGUUGUUUCCUUCAAAGAUUAAUUCAUCCUUCUGGGCUUGAGAUACCAAACAAGCAACAUUGGGCCUUAUCCAAACCCUGAGGAUUUAUUUUUCAUCCAAGAAAUUUCGGAUGCCAAUAAGAGACCCAUUCUCCUUGAUAAUGACAUUGAUGGGGAAUUGAGCAUGCGCAGACCUCGCCUUGUAACAGAAGCCCAGUGUAACACCCUUGAUCAUGUUCGCGCAUGACUACAAAGUGCAGACAGUGGCCAGGUCUUUUCUGUUUCCCCCUUUGACAACUGGAGCCUCUUCCUUUUCUUUCCAAAAAGAAUGGGUUCUACAUUGAUACAUAGAAGUCCCUUCACAGGGUUCCUCUGGGGCCCUUCACAAUAACUGUGUGUCCCUUCAGGAUAAUGUUGACAUUUUCUGAAGUCGACAGUCUGAUUGCUGAGAAUGGUCUUCCUUCUUGCCGUAGAUGCGGCCAAGAACAGAAGUAAAAAUUUUAGAAUUGAAAUAGCUCAUAGGCUUAUUACCUUCAGGAAAUUAAUAGAAUGGGGAUGAUGAAGAGACUCUAUUGUCAGUUUGGUUGGAUGUGGAAGCCUAUACACAGACAGUUGUGGUGAGCAGCCUGAGAGUGGGAGGCACACUGAGCAUAGGAAAGGAUUGAAUAUAUCGAGAAGAAAGGGAACUGAGAAAGCAGAUCUGACCCUGAGAGGGAGCACUGGCACUGACAACCCAAGGCUCGUGUGUGACUUUCUUUGCUGAUUUGGGAAAAGUCACUAAUAAUGUUUGAAAUUAGGACUCCAUAGGCAGUACCGAGCAGCAGGCAGGUGUUAGCCAAGGAAUUCAGGAGCAUUAGGUUUUAGUCUUAGUAAUUAGUCUUAUGACCUCACCAAUGCCCUGGAAGUAAAUGGUCUAAUGUUCCUUCGUACAGUUUACGAGGCUUGAGGUCAAACAAACCUUUAUAAUAAUUGUUAAAACUGUCAAUGUUAUAAGAUGGUAACAGCUAUUAUUUGUUUAUGCUUUAUUUAUAGAACCUUAAUGAUUCUUUGGUUUUACAAAAAGAAAAUAAUCAAAAUGUCACUUUUUAGGCAAAAAACCUCAGAUAUCUGGAAUAUGCUGACGUUGUAUUAUCAUUUCAGAACAUGAAAAAUAUGUUCCGUAUAAAAUAUUUAAUGAAACAAAAAGUAUGGCUAGUUGAACAAUUUCAAAAAGUAACACUCAGAUUGUGUUAGACCAAGAUGUCAAAAAGAAGCAACUAUUUCCAAGUCUAGAGUCUGGAAUCCUAUUAUCAUAAUAUUGGUUUAUUGAAUGAGGAAACUUAAAUAAAUGAUAAGGAACUCAUAACAUGCUUGAUAGAACAACGAAAUUCAAAAGUCAAAGAGAACUUAAGAUGUAAGCUGAGUAUAUUCAUGCAGAUGUGGUGUGAAAUCACACUGAAUGCUCUCAGGUUUUAUCAGUGGUCCUCAGGUUGGGUAUCCCUGAAGUGGCAAUAGAGCUAAUGAAGGUAUGCAGUGUUAUACUAGAAUUCCAUUAAUGCAGUAUCAAUGGCAUGUUGACCAAAACUCUGAUUUGCUGAACACACACACACACACACACACACACACACACACACGCGCGCGCGCGCGCGCGCGCGAAAUCAAACUAACAGUUUGAAGAUAAUACAGAAGUUCUGUGUUAAGUUCUAUGAUGAGCUAUGGAGUCUCUGGAAUACUUGAUUUCCUCUGUUCCUUCUACUCUAUACUAUGUUUCUUUUAUUAAAUUUAUAAUGAAACAAAAACUAUGGCUAAACAAUUUCAGUAAAUAACACUUAUUUAACGUUAUAAUGGAUAAAGUAUGUACAUUAAAGCCAGACAGUUAAAGAAGCUCAUAUUAUAGCUCCAUCAUUUUGUUGCUUUUAAUCUUAAAUGAUUAUUCAUCUUUACUUCUUUGUGUCUGAACUUCUUCCCUUGCAAAAAAAAUAGGACUGUCACCUAUUUUGUUAGGUUCCCAUGGGAUGUAAAUGAGAUAACAUAGGACAGUGCUUGGUACAUAGUGGACACACACUAAAUACUGAUAUCAUUUCUCUUUCCCAUUUUGUCUGUGGUACUAUUAAUCACUGAAGUUUAGUGAAAGUGAAAUUAUCUAUUUAUAUUUCCUCUUCACCUUCCAUUUGGUGCCAAGGACACAUUUGGAUCAUGUAGGAGUUUAAGCAAGGUUUACAAUUGAUGUUCUUCUUCAUGUUCUGUUCAUUUUUAUUACUCUCGUUGAAAUUGCUUAUUUGUAAUCUGGCCAGAUUU